GGGGAUUUAGCUCAAGUGGUAGAGCGCUCGCUUCGCAUGUGAGAGGCACGGGGAUCGAUACCCCGAAUCUCCA
RNAcentral lists this transfer RNA (73 nucleotides) under Coemansia sp. 'formosensis'. RNAcentral's name for it is "tRNA-Ala". It matches the Rfam family "tRNA". From Rfam's summary of the family: Transfer RNA (tRNA) molecules are approximately 80 nucleotides in length. Their secondary structure includes four short double-helical elements and three loops (D, anti-codon, and T loops). Further hydrogen bonds mediate the characteristic L-shaped molecular structure. tRNAs have two regions of fundamental functional importance: the anti-codon, which is responsible for specific mRNA codon recognition, and the 3' end, to which the tRNAs corresponding amino acid is attached (by aminoacyl-tRNA synthetases). tRNAs cope with the degeneracy of the genetic code in two manners: having more than one tRNA (with a specific anti-codon) for a particular amino acid; and 'wobble' base-pairing, i.e. permitting non-standard base-pairing at the 3rd anti-codon position. Lineage: Eukaryota; Fungi; Kickxellomycota; Kickxellomycetes; Kickxellales; Kickxellaceae. The record is from RNAcentral.